Molecule: ribosomal RNA, 462 nt
Filed under: uncultured bacterium
Lineage: Bacteria
Description: partial 16S ribosomal RNA
Rfam family: Bacterial small subunit ribosomal RNA
Source: RNAcentral
CCUACGGGAGGCGUAGUAGUGAGGAAUAUUGGGCAAUGGGAGGAAGAAGGAACAAGCCAUGACGAGGGGAGGACGAAGGCUCUACGAGGUGGAAACUGAUUGUGUAUCGGGGGAAAAUGCUCUACGAGUAGGGUUUUGAAAGUACGGUACGAAGAAGGAUCGGCUACCUCCGUGCCAGCAGCCGCGGUAAUACGGAGGAUCCGAGCGUUAUCCGGAUUCAUUGGGUUUAAAGGGUGCGUAGGUUGUUUUCUAAGUUAGCGGUGAAAUCCCGAUGCUCAACCUCGGGGCUGCCGCUGAUACUGUAGGACUAGAGCUCGGAUGCAGCAGGCGGAAUGUGUAGUGUAGCGGUGAAAUGCAUAGAUAUUACGCAGAACACCGAUUGCGAAGGCAGCUUGCUAGGCCGGAUCUGACACUGAUGCACGAAAGCGUGGGGAUCGAACAGGAUUAGAUACCCUUGUAGUC